Molecule: ribosomal RNA, 367 nt
Filed under: uncultured bacterium
Lineage: Bacteria
Description: bacterial SSU rRNA
Rfam family: Bacterial small subunit ribosomal RNA
Source: RNAcentral
GGAGGAUCCGAGCGUUAUCCGGAUCUAUUGGGUUUAAAGGGAGCGUAGGCGGACGCUUAAGUCAGUUGUGAAAGUUUGCGGCUCAACCGUAAAAUUGCAGUUGAUACUGGGUGUCUUGAGUACAGUAGAGGCAGGCGGAAUUCGUGGUGUAGCGGUGAAAUGCUUAGAUAUCACGAAGAACUCCGAUUGCGAAGGCAGCUUGCUGGACUGUAACUGACGCUGAUGCUCGAAAGUGUGGGUAUCAAACAGGAUUAGAUACCCUGGUAGUCCACACAGUAAACGAUGAAUACUCGCUGUUUGCGAUAUACAGUAAGCGGCCAAGCGAAAGCGUUAAGUAUUCCACCUGGGGAGUACGCCGGCAACGGUG